CUUCAACGAGCCGAUCCAGAGCGGGCGUUGCGCGUCGCGGCCCUGGCCGUAGACGGCGGACAGCGCUCGCGCCUC
This 75-nucleotide antisense RNA is filed under the name Streptomyces sp. Root264. RNAcentral describes it as "ASpks TB sRNA". It matches the Rfam family "ASpks TB sRNA". Lineage: Bacteria; Bacillati; Actinomycetota; Actinomycetes; Kitasatosporales; Streptomycetaceae. The record is from Rfam by way of RNAcentral.